UACGUAGGGUGCGAGCGUUGUCCGGAAUUAUUGGGCGUAAAGGGCUCGUAGGCGGUUUGUCGCGUCGGGAGUGAAAACCAUGGGCUUAACUCAUGGCUUGCUUCCGAUACGGGCAGACUAGAGGUAUGCAGGGGAGAACGGAAUUCCUGGUGUAGCGGUGAAAUGCGCAGAUAUCAGGAGGAACACCGGUGGCGAAGGCGGUUCUCUGGGCAUUACCUGACGCUGAGGAGCGAAAGCGUGGGGAACGAACAGG
RNAcentral lists this ribosomal RNA (253 nucleotides) under uncultured bacterium. Its description in RNAcentral is "partial 16S ribosomal RNA". It matches the Rfam family "Bacterial small subunit ribosomal RNA", at positions 524 to 776 of the family's 1533-position model. The record is from RNAcentral.